Molecule: non-coding RNA, 495 nt
Organism: Lactuca sativa (garden lettuce)
Lineage: Eukaryota; Viridiplantae; Streptophyta; Magnoliopsida; Asterales; Asteraceae
Source: RefSeq, a predicted model, not a curated record
CAAUACCAGCUGACUGAGGAAAGCAAAAAACGUUUCCAUCCCGUUACCAUUGUCCUAACACAUCAUCUCCUUUCUCUCGCAACCUGCAAGCACCGAUAAAAGUUCCUCCUCGUCUUAACAGAAGCCUGAAAAAUGUUUUUAUUCGGGUUAUUUAAGAAAUAUGAAGGGUUAUUGAUUUUGAGCUCGGUUUCGUUGACCUACUCAAGUUAUAUAUCUUUAAUAGCAACCUACAUUUUAACUACUUUCCGAUUAUAGAAAUGUACUUUUAGUUUGACUUUAAUAUCAUCCUACUACUAUACCAAGAUUCUUAUCGGCAAUCUUUCAAAUUAUUGGUUUGAUUGUUAGAGUGGAUUACACUAAAAGCAAGGGACUUCCAUUGAUUUGAUUGUUAGUCGGAGUAAAUUACACUUGUGGUCCUUUAGCUUAGCAUUUUUCUUUGGGUUUGGUCCGAAAAGGAAUUGGUUAGCAAAUUUUAUGUUUCUUAACUUUUUUAGU